RNAcentral lists this ribosomal RNA (498 nucleotides) under uncultured bacterium. RNAcentral's name for it is "partial 16S ribosomal RNA". It matches the Rfam family "Bacterial small subunit ribosomal RNA", at positions 29 to 523 of the family's 1533-position model. The record is from RNAcentral.
AUUGAACGCUGGCGGCAUGCUUUACACAUGCAAGUCGAACGGCAACAGGCCGCAAGGUGCUGACGAGUGGCGAACGGGUGAGUAAUGCAUCGGAACGUGCCCAGUCGUGGGGGAUAACGCAGCGAAAGCUGCGCUAAUACCUCAUACGAUCUCUGGAUGAAAGCGGGGGACCGAAAGGCCUCGCGCGAUUGGAGCGGCUGAUGUCAGAUUAGGUAGUGGGUGGGGUAAAGGCCCACCAAGCAAACGAUCUGUAGCUGGUCUGAGAGGACGACCAGCCACACUGGGACUGAGACACGGCCCAGACUCCUACGGGAGGCAGCAGUGGGGAAUUUUGGACAAUGGGCGCAAGCCUGAUCCAGCAAUGCCGCGUGCAGGAAGAAGGCCUUCGGGUUGUAAACUGCUUUUGUACGGAACGAAACGGUCCGGGUUAAUACCCUGGGCUAAUGACGGUACCGUAAGAAUAAGCACCGGCUAACUACGUGCCAGCCGCCGCCGUAA